This 447-nucleotide ribosomal RNA is filed under the name Alcaligenes sp. EB47. RNAcentral's name for it is "bacterial SSU rRNA". It matches the Rfam family "Bacterial small subunit ribosomal RNA", at positions 822 to 1274 of the family's 1533-position model. The record is from RNAcentral. Lineage: Bacteria; Pseudomonadati; Pseudomonadota; Betaproteobacteria; Burkholderiales; Alcaligenaceae.
UUUGGGGCCGUUAGGCCUUUGUAGCGCAGCUAACGAAAUAAGUUGCCCGCGGAGUGAGUCCGCAAGCAAGAAUAAAACUCAAAGGAAUUGGGGGGGACCCGCGCAAGCGGUCGAUGAUUUGGAUUAAUUGGAACCAACGCGACAAACCUUACUUACCCCUUCCAGGUAAGGAAAGCCGAAGAGAUUUGGCCGUUCUGGCAAUAGAACCCGAACACAGCAGGGGCAUGGUCGUCUUCAGCUGGUGUAUUGAGAUGUAAGGUUAACUCCGGCAACGAGCGCAACCCUUGUCAUUAGUUGAUUCGCUAGAGCACUCAAAUGAGACUGCCGGUGACAAACCGGAGGAAGGUGGGGAUGACGUCAAGUCCUCAUGGCCCUUAUGGGUAGGGCUUCACACGUCAUACAAUGGUCUAUACAGAGGGAAGCCACCUCGCGAGGGCGAGCCAAUCU